UUGGUACUCGGGGAUGGACGAGGGGGGGGUUGGUACUCGGGAUGGACAUGGGGGGGUUGGUACUGUAGCGGGGAUGGACACGGGGGGGUUGGUACUCGGGAUGGACACGGGGGGGUUGGUACUCGGGAUGGACACGGGGGGCCCUUGGCAGCGGGGAUGGACAUGGGGGAGCCUUCGGGGGGGGCGUUAGUAUGGGGGGGCCGUUGGCACCGGCUUUGACUGGCGAUUGACACGGGCCGGGAGCAUUGACACGAGCUCCCCUGGAAGCAGCUCUAGUGAGCGAGAGAAUUUACCUCAGUGAAAAUUUAGCGGGAAAGCCACCCUGUCCCUCUGAUUGGUCGCGCUGGAUGGGCGGGAAUGGCUAUCAUUGGCUGUGCGCGCUGUGAAGUCAUCAGUCACUGGGCCAGGUUGUGGGGGUCUUCCGCAAAGUUAGACUCUGGAAUACCACGUGGUUCGUUCUCCUACUAUGUGGACCCUGAUUGGUUGGGAGCUGAGGCGAGAGAGCGGUUGGGUCUCUCAGUCUCCUGGUUGGAGAGAUCCCGCUGAUUGGCCGGAGCCGCCGGAGCGUCCCAGUCUCCAGGGCUGAGGGAAGAUCCCCACGUGGAACCUGGAUCCGGUGAUUGGCUGGAGCACUAGAACAGGCUGGCAGCCACGGGUGGCACCAAGCUGGUGAAGAGGGAAUAUUUGAAAGUUAAUGUGCCGCAAACAUGCGAAGAAAUCCUGUCCUACAUUCUGGUGCAGGCCCCGCCGCCCACGCCCUCCGCCCCCCGGCCCCGCUUCUCCCUCUAUCUCUCUGCCCAACUGCAGUAUGGGGUGGUGCGGGUCUACAGCCGACAGUGCCACUACCUCAUCGAGGAGAUCCAGCACACCUUGGAGCGUCUAAGCCGGGCCCAGCAGCAGAUCCGCAUCGACAUGGGGGACCUUGAACAGUGAGUCAUGGGGAGGGGUCUGGGGCCCCCCAUAACUCCUGGGACACUCCUGAACCCCCACAGCACCUAGGAUAUGCCUGUAACCCCUCUCCCAGGUAGGGGCAUCAGUAUGGAGGUGGGAGGCCAAUUGGCAAGGGAGAGGCAUGGGGGGAGCAUAGCAGUGGUGAGGGGGUCAGUACGGAGGAGGAGAUUAG
This 1123-nucleotide long non-coding RNA is filed under the name Gopherus evgoodei (Goodes thornscrub tortoise). RNAcentral describes it as "lncRNA (ENSGEVG00005018933.1)". Lineage: Eukaryota; Metazoa; Chordata; Testudines; Testudinidae. The record is from RNAcentral.